RNAcentral lists this ribosomal RNA (357 nucleotides) under Triticum aestivum (bread wheat). RNAcentral describes it as "partial small subunit ribosomal RNA". The record is from RNAcentral. Lineage: Eukaryota; Viridiplantae; Streptophyta; Magnoliopsida; Poales; Poaceae.
AUGAGGGUUCUGGGACUAGCUCCGGUGGAAAGAGCAAGAAAAUGACAGGCAUCUAGGGUCACCUGGCUUAAGGCAGGAGAUGCAUGCACGACAUUUUUUCAAGCGAAGAUAAACUCAAGAAGAAGGAAGAACUUCAUCCACUCACUGCAAAUAGACAAGGUUACUGCCACUGCCAAUGAGGACAAACCCUCAGUUGCACACCAUCACUUCAUGAACUUGCUGGGACGAAAGGAAGUCAGACGAUGAUCCAUCAAUUGGGAUGAACUAGACAUGCUAAGGUUACAAAAUGAAGGGCUUGAUAACCCGUUCUCUGAGUCGGAUGUUUGGGCUGCUAUCUUGGCUUCCCUGGCAGAAUAA